This 565-nucleotide long non-coding RNA is filed under the name Citrus x clementina. Its description in RNAcentral is "Citrus clementina (C. clementina) long non-coding RNA (CCLE_LNC002518)". The record is from RNAcentral. Lineage: Eukaryota; Viridiplantae; Streptophyta; Magnoliopsida; Sapindales; Rutaceae.
UUUUUUGUUGUUGUUGCUGAAAUCGAGCAAAUGCAGGGUUGAAAAUGGAGAUAUUAGUUGUGUGAUAAACAACUAAAAGAGAUGCGAGAUGCAAAGAGAUAGAGAGGACAAGAAACUGAUUGUUAAAUGCAAAUUUAACAAGUGAAGAGAAAACUAAUACACCAUUUAAAAAAAAAGUAUCAGACAAUAACCUAAAAUCUCUCAUAUAGAGAGGACUACGUUGAGGCUUAUAAUGAAGGAACCAUAAAUUUGUGCAGGCUGAAAGUGUAAAAAUGAGCGGACAAUCCGACCACAAUUUAACUUAUAGUGAUACUGUGGGCACCCCCUCAGUAUGCUUACGAAACCCCCCAUUUUUUUACAUUAACAGCAUUUUUACAAGAUAAAAUUACAUAAAACUACAAAUACAAAUUAAUUAAACCCCAAUCCAUAUAUUUCUUUUUCAUACAAUUGCUUCCCAGUACACGUCACCCACGCAUCAUAAACUCCUUAUUUUCAGGAUCUAAUAUAUUUUGGAUUCAUUUUUUUUUAGUUCCGAAAUGAUUUUGAAGUAAUUAAGAUAAAACAU